Molecule: unclassified non-coding RNA, 34 nt
Filed under: Trypanosoma brucei
Lineage: Eukaryota; Euglenozoa; Kinetoplastea; Trypanosomatida; Trypanosomatidae
Source: RNAcentral
UCGCUAUUAUUAGAACAGUUUCUGUACUAUAUUG